Molecule: ribosomal RNA, 236 nt
Filed under: uncultured Smithella sp.
Lineage: Bacteria; Pseudomonadati; Thermodesulfobacteriota; Syntrophia; Syntrophales; Smithellaceae
Description: partial 16S ribosomal RNA
Rfam family: Bacterial small subunit ribosomal RNA
Source: RNAcentral
GAGACUGCCGGUGUUAAACCGGAGGAAGUGGGAUGACGUCAAGUCCUCAUGGCCUUUAUGCCCAGGGCUACACACGUGCUACAAUGGGUGGUACAAAGAGCAGCCAGCUCGCGAGAGCGCGCCAAUCUCAAAAAGCCAUCCUCAGUUCGGAUUGGAGUCUGCAACUCGACUCCAUGAAGUUGGAAUCGCUAGUAAUCGCGGAUCAGCAUGCCGCGGUGAAUACGUUCCCGGGCCUU